Molecule: ribosomal RNA, 460 nt
Filed under: uncultured bacterium
Lineage: Bacteria
Description: partial 16S ribosomal RNA
Rfam family: Bacterial small subunit ribosomal RNA
Source: RNAcentral
CCUACGGGAGGCAGCAGUGAGGAAUAUUGGUCAAUGGGCGCGAGCCUGAACCAGCCAAGUAGCGUGAAGGAUGACUGCCCUACGGGUUGUAAACUUCUUUUAUAAAGGAAUAAAGUGAGGCACGUGUGCCUUCUUGUAUGUUCUUUAUGAAUAAGGAUCGGCCAACUCCGGUCCAGCAGCCGCGGUAAUACGGAGGAUGCGAGCGUUAUCCGGAUUUAUUGGGUUUAAAGGGAGCGUAGAUGGGUUGUUAAGUCAGUUGUGAAAGUUUGCGGCUCAACCGUAAAAUUGCAAUUGAUACUGGCAGUCUUGAGUACAGUUGAGGUAGGCGGAAUUCGUGGUGUAGCGGUGAAAUGCAUAGAUAUCACGAAGAACUCCGAUUGCGAAGGCAGCUUACUAAACUGCCACUGACAUUGAUGCUCGAAAGUGUGGGUAUCAAACAGGAUUAGAUACCCCUGUAGUC